RNAcentral lists this transfer RNA (71 nucleotides) under Marmota monax (woodchuck). RNAcentral's name for it is "tRNA.Ala". It matches the Rfam family "tRNA". From Rfam's summary of the family: Transfer RNA (tRNA) molecules are approximately 80 nucleotides in length. Their secondary structure includes four short double-helical elements and three loops (D, anti-codon, and T loops). The record is from RNAcentral. Lineage: Eukaryota; Metazoa; Chordata; Mammalia; Rodentia; Sciuridae.
GGGGUUGUGGCUCAGUAGUAGAGCGCUCAUCUAGCACGUGAAAGGCCCUGGGUUCGAUCCUCAGCACCACA